UCCGUAGGCGGAUUAAUAAGUCAGAGGUGAAAUCCCACAGCUUAACUGUGGAACUGCCUUUGAUACUGUUAGUCUUGAGUUAUAUGGAAGUAGAUAGAAUGUGUAGUGUAGCGGUGAAAUGCAUAGAUAUUACACAGAAUACCGAUUGCGAAGGCAGUCUACUACGUAUAUACUGACGCUAAUGGACGAAAGCGUGGGGAGCGAACAGGAUUAGAUACCCUGGUAGUCC
RNAcentral lists this ribosomal RNA (229 nucleotides) under uncultured bacterium. RNAcentral describes it as "partial 16S ribosomal RNA". It matches the Rfam family "Bacterial small subunit ribosomal RNA", at positions 568 to 796 of the family's 1533-position model. The record is from RNAcentral.